Molecule: unclassified non-coding RNA, 396 nt
Filed under: soil metagenome
Description: partial contains 5.8S ribosomal RNA, internal transcribed spacer 2, and large subunit ribosomal RNA
Rfam family: 5.8S ribosomal RNA (bases 1-122)
Source: RNAcentral
GAUGAAGAACGUAGCGAAAUGCGAUACUUGGUGUGAAUUGCAGAAUCCCGUGAACCAUCGAGUCUUUGAACGCAAGUUGCGCCCGAAGCCAGUAGGCCGAGGGCACGCCUGCCUGGGUGUCACACACCGUUACCCUCGCGCCAACGUCCAUCGUUGGCCGCGGCGCGGGGCGUGCGCUGACCUCCCGCGAGCGGGGUCUCGUGGUUGGUUGAAAAUCGAGUUCGCGGUCGAGGGUGCCGUGAUGAAAUGGUGGAUGGGCGACGCCCGAGGCCAAUCACGCGCGACUCUGUGCGGCUCGGACUCCUGGACCCCUUCGGCGUCUCCGGACGCUCUUUGGCGAGACCUCAGGUCAGGCGGGGCUACCCGCUGAGUUUAAGCAUAUCAAUAAGCGGAGGA